RNAcentral lists this ribosomal RNA (301 nucleotides) under uncultured bacterium. RNAcentral's name for it is "partial 16S ribosomal RNA". It matches the Rfam family "Bacterial small subunit ribosomal RNA", at positions 509 to 809 of the family's 1533-position model. The record is from RNAcentral.
CAGUAGCCGCGGGAAUACGUGGGGUGCAAGCGUUAAUCGGAAUUACUGGGCGUAAAGCGUGCGCAGGCGGUUCGUUAAGACAGAUGUGAAAUCCCCGGGCUUAACCUGGGAACUGCAUUUGUGACUGGCGGGCUAGAGUAUGGUAGAGGGGGGUAGAAUUCCACGUGUAGCAGUGAAAUGCGUAGAGAUGUGGAGGAAUACCGAUGGCGAAGGCAGCCCCCUGGGCCAAUACUGACGCUCAUGCACGAAAGCGUGGGGAGCAAACAGGAUUAGAUACCCCAGUAGUCCCUGUCUCUUAUAA